UACGGGGGGUGCGAGCGUUGUCCGGAAUCACUGGGCGUAGAGGGUGCGCAGGCGGUUGGGUGUGUCAGAUGUGAAAUCCCGAGGCUCCACCUCGGAACUGCGUCUGAAACUACUCGACUAGAGUAUUGGAGAGGGUAACGGAAUUCACGGUGUAGCAGUGAAAUGCGUAGAUAUCGUGAGGAACACCAGAGGCGAAGGCGGUUACCUGGACAAUUACUGACGCUCAGGCACGAAAGCGUGGGGAGCAAAAGGG
This 253-nucleotide ribosomal RNA is filed under the name uncultured bacterium. RNAcentral describes it as "partial 16S ribosomal RNA". It matches the Rfam family "Bacterial small subunit ribosomal RNA", at positions 524 to 776 of the family's 1533-position model. The record is from RNAcentral.